AGUGAACGCUGGCGGUAGGCCUAACACAUGCAAGUCGAACGGCAGCACAGUAAGAGCUUGCUCUUACGGGUGGCGAGUGGCGGACGGGUGAGGAAUACAUCGGAAUCUACUUUUUCGUGGGGGAUAACGUAGGGAAACUUACGCUAAUACCGCAUACGACCUACGGGUGAAAGCAGGGGACCUUCGGACCUUGCGCGAUUGAAUGAGCCGAUGUCGGAUUAGCUAGUUGGCGGGGUAGAGGCCCACCAAGGCGACGAUCCGUAGCUGGUCUGAGAGGAUGAUCAGCCACACUGGAACUGAGACACGGUCCAGACUCCUACGGGAGGCAGCAGUGGGGAAUAUUGGACAAUGGGCGCAAGCCUGAUCCAGCCAUACCGCGUGGGUGAAGAAGGCCUUCGGGUUGUAAAGCCCUUUUGUUGGGAAAGAAAAGCAGCAGGUUAAUACCCCGCUGUUCUGACGGUACCCAAAGAAUAAGCACCGGCUAACUUCGUG
RNAcentral lists this ribosomal RNA (492 nucleotides) under uncultured bacterium. RNAcentral's name for it is "partial 16S ribosomal RNA". It matches the Rfam family "Bacterial small subunit ribosomal RNA", at positions 29 to 507 of the family's 1533-position model. The record is from RNAcentral.